This 777-nucleotide long non-coding RNA is filed under the name Equus caballus (horse). Its description in RNAcentral is "lncRNA (ENSECAG00000050588.1)". The record is from RNAcentral. Lineage: Eukaryota; Metazoa; Chordata; Mammalia; Perissodactyla; Equidae.
GUGUGGACUGCUGCAUAAGAAAAACAACUUAGCCAGGCAAUGACUGCCGUCUCGUGGCAUUUUCCUGAUGUCAUAGUGGCUCCAUAUUGGAGGGGGUGGCAAAUGGCAACAUAGCGGUCAUAGGACAUGACAGUGAGAAAGGCCAGUUCAGCAGAUGCAAAAGCAAAGAAAAAGUAGACUUGAGCCACACAGCCAAGAUAAGAGAUGGAGCUGCUGUGGGUCAGAGAGCUGUGGACUGACUUAGGCACGGUGACUGAGAUGUAGCACAAAUCCAAAAAGGAGAGGUUCCUUAGGAAGAAGUACAUGGGCGUGUGCAGAUACUGAUCAAGAGUAAUGAGCAUGAUGAUGAGAAGGUUCCCCACCAGAGCUGCCAGAUAAAUCAGCAGAAACAGUCCAGCAAGUAGCAUCUGUAGCUCCCAGACAUCAGAAAACCCCAUGAGCAGGAAUUCUGUCACUUCCACGAGAUUGUCCAUUGGAAGGUGAAACUAAGACAAAGCAAGGUCAAGUAGCUUGCCCAAGACCACUCAAAAAGCCAGAUCCUGCGCCAGCACUCAAAUCAAGGUAGUCCAUCUCCGGGAUCAGUGUCGCUAACCUCUGCAUUCUACUAAUCUACUUUAAUGGGUAUCUCUGUGCUGGAGACCAACCGGAAGGGAAAUUUUAAAGAACAGGAUUGCUGGAUCAUAUGAGGCUGUAGAUGAGGGGAUUCAACAUGGGUGUAAGAAUAGCAAAGAAGACAGACACCAUCUUUUCCUGCAUGGGGGAAUGAUGAGAAGCAGG